Molecule: long non-coding RNA, 394 nt
Organism: Aedes aegypti (yellow fever mosquito)
Lineage: Eukaryota; Metazoa; Arthropoda; Insecta; Diptera; Culicidae
Exons: 3
Source: RefSeq, a predicted model, not a curated record
UUUGAACGGCUGUUUGUUUGAUGAUGAACGUUCAAGAUCGAACGAAGACAGCUCGGCACGUUUGUAUUGCUUUAGUUAGAAAGGGAUUCGUAUCUAUCAACAUUUUGCAAAAUGCCUCCUCCGAAAGCCAGAUUGCACAAAACAACGGGAAAGCUGAAAACCAUUCCUAAAGUGCCGCAAUCGGUUGUAAACCAGACACCAUCGAGUUCGUCUCCCGGAACACCACAAUCCGUUAGCAGUCCACCGGAAGUAGAUCGACAAUUUGAACUAGAACUCUACUGGUGCAUCCAGCAGCUGGAGAAUUCACUGAACGCGCCUCACAUGAGAGAGAAUAAAAAGAAACUGAUGAUACCUUAAAACUAAUAAACACUCUCAAAUCAGCAAAUCAACCGCU